Molecule: ribosomal RNA, 693 nt
Filed under: uncultured bacterium
Lineage: Bacteria
Description: bacterial SSU rRNA
Rfam family: Bacterial small subunit ribosomal RNA
Source: RNAcentral
CCUGCAGUGGGUACGGGCAGACUAGAGUGCGGUAGGGGAGAAUGGAAUUCCUGGUGUAGCGGUGGAAUGCGCAGAUAUCAGGAGGAACACCGAUGGCGAAGGCAGUUCUCUGGGCCGUAACUGACGCUGAGGAGCGAAAGCGUGGGGAGCGAACAGGAUUAGAUACCCUGGUAGUCCACGCCGUAAACGUUGGGCGCUAGAUGUGGGGACCAUUCCACGGUUUCCGUGUCGCAGCUAACGCAUUAAGCGCCCCGCCUGGGGAGUACGGCCGCAAGGCUAAAACUCAAAGGAAUUGACGGGGGCCCGCACAAGCGGCGGAGCAUGCGGAUUAAUUCGAUGCAACGCGAAGAACCUUACCAAGGCUUGACAUACACGAGAACGGGCCAGAAAUGGUCAACUCUUUGGACACUCGUGAACAGGUGGUGCAUGGUUGUCGUCAGCUCGUGUCGUGAGAUGUUGGGUUAAGUCCCGCAACGAGCGCAACCCUCGUUCUAUGUUGCCAGCGCGUAAUGGCGGGAACUCAUAGGAGACUGCCGGGGUCAACUCGGAGGAAGGUGGGGAUGACGUCAAAUCAUCAUGCCCCUUAUGUCUUGGGCUUCACGCAUGCUACAAUGGCCGGUACAAAGGGCUGCAAUACCGUAAGGUGGAGCGAAUCCCAAAAAGCCGGUCUCAGUUCGGAUUGAGGUCUGCAAC